GAUGAACGCUGGCGGCGUGCCUAAUACAUGCAAGUCGAGCGAACAGACGAGGAGCUUGCUCCUUUGACGUUAGCGGCGGACGGGUGAGUAACACGUAGGUAACCUACCUAUAAGACUGGGAUAACUUCGGGAAACCGGAGCUAAUACCGGAUAAUAUUUCGAACCGCAUGGUUCGAUAGUGAAAGAUGGCUUUGCUAUCACUUAUAGAUGGACCUGCGCCGUAUUAGCUAGUUGGUAAGGUAACGGCUACCAAGGCAACGAUACGUAGCCGACCUGAGAGGGUGAUCGGCCACACUGGAACUGAGACACGGUCCAGACUCCUACGGGAGGCAGCAGUAGGGAAUCUUCCGCAAUGGGCGAAAGCCUGACGGAGCAACGCCGCGUGAGUGAUGAAGGUCUUCGGAUCGUAAAACUCUGUUAUUAGGGAAGAACAAACGUGUAAGUAACUGUGCACGUCUUGACGGUACCUAAUCAGAAAGCCACGGCUAACUACGUG
Molecule: ribosomal RNA, 496 nt
Filed under: uncultured bacterium
Lineage: Bacteria
Description: partial 16S ribosomal RNA
Rfam family: Bacterial small subunit ribosomal RNA
Source: RNAcentral